This 928-nucleotide non-coding RNA is filed under the name Pseudogymnoascus sp. VKM F-3808. RNAcentral's name for it is "Bacterial large subunit ribosomal RNA". It matches the Rfam family "Bacterial large subunit ribosomal RNA", at positions 1904 to 2538 of the family's 2925-position model. The record is from Rfam by way of RNAcentral. Lineage: Eukaryota; Fungi; Ascomycota; Leotiomycetes; Thelebolales; Thelebolaceae.
GACUGUGAAGGAAACCCCGAUCAAUGGCGGCCUUAUUUUGAGGGUCCUAAGGUAGCGGAAUACCCUGGCCGUUAAAUGCGGUCUUGCAUGAAUGAUUUAACGAUACAACAGCUGUCUCAAUGAUUGGCUCAGUGAAAUUGGAAUAACUGUGCAGAUACAGUUUACCUCUAGUUAGACGAGAAGACCCUAUGCAGCUUUACUGUUGCUAGUUAUUGGAUAUGAUUGAAUUAAUUUUAGUAGUAUAAGGUAAUUGGUUAGAUAUAAUUGAAAUACCUUUAUUGUGUUUGUCAUAUUGAUAGAUUUAAUCUAUUUUCUUAUCUAAAGAUAGGAAAUGACCCCUACUAUGUUAGGGGAACAAUGGCUAGGAGGCAGUUUAUGCGGGGCACAGAUCCCAUAAAAAGUACCUGGGUGUAUCCAAAGUUAAUUUUGUAAAAUUGACAUGACUUACUUCUAAAUUUAUAAUUUGGAAAUAAGUUUUCAUGACUAAUAAUACAUUAUAUAUUUAAUGUAUUUAUUUUUAGUUUGUUAUUUGGUAUAGCUUAUGCUAUAACUAAUCCAGCUAUUUAUCUAUUAAGUUAGAAAUAUUUUUUUAUCCAAGUAAGAUUUUAUCUAUAUGGAAAAUAGAUGUAAUUAAAACAUUGACGUAGAUAUCUUUCCAAUGUUUUUUAAUUUUUUUAUUAGGUGUAUUUGGUGAAACCAAACUACAAAUUGCUAAUAAGACAAUUAUGUUUAUUACUUGUCAAGUUUAAUGGCUUAAUCUUGCUUUACUGUUUGACUUACACGUCUAUCAGUCGCGUAAGCGGGGCAUAUGAUCACAAGAUGCAGAAAGGAAAGGUCUUGGAUUUAUGAAAAAGCUACGCUAGGGAUGUUAGUCCUCCAAUGUUUAAGUCUACUAAUAUUUAUUAUUGGGUUAAUUAGACUUAAACUC